ACCAUACAUCAGUCAUCUGGCAGCAGCUCGAGAAGCAUGUCCUCCACGCCGUCAAUCUGAGAGGCAGAGAGAGAGAGAAGGCAUUGAUCGGCCAGAGCCCUCCACUCCCUCCAUUCCUCACUCCUGCGCCUUCGCCUAGCUGGAAACAGCAGGCUGGAAUGCAAUGGCGCGAUCUUGGCUCACUGCAACCUCAACCUCCUGGGUUCAAGCGAUUCUCCUGCCUCUGCCUCCUGAGUAGCGAGAUUACAGACAAAGAAUUCAAGACUAAGCUGGGCAUGGUGGCACACACCUGUAGUCUCAGCUACUUGGGAGGCUGGGCAGGAGAAUCGCAUGAACCUGGGAGGCGGAGGUUGCAGUGAGCUGAGAUCACGCCACUGCACUCCAGCCUGGCCACAGAGCGAGACUCUGUCUCAAAAAAAAAAAAAUAAUAAUAAUAAUUCAAGACUAAGAAGAGUGAAGUAUGAAGUAAUUCACCCACAGACACCCAGCUAGUGAGUGGCAGACCUGGAAGACAAACUAGUUCUGUCUGGCAUCAGAAUCUAUGCUGUCAGCCACCUCACCACAUUCAUGUGACAUCUAACAAAGUGGUGCCUUCACCUGCUACUAAGUCUUGCUAGGGCUAGUUCCAGAGCCAGGACUAUGAAGUGGACAAUGAUCUA
RNAcentral lists this non-coding RNA (659 nucleotides) under Pongo abelii (Sumatran orangutan). The record is from RNAcentral. Lineage: Eukaryota; Metazoa; Chordata; Mammalia; Primates; Hominidae.